This 99-nucleotide signal recognition particle RNA is filed under the name Spirochaetaceae bacterium. RNAcentral's name for it is "signal recognition particle sRNA small type". It matches the Rfam family "Bacterial small signal recognition particle RNA". Rfam says of the family: The signal recognition particle (SRP) is a universally conserved ribonucleoprotein involved in the co-translational targeting of proteins to membranes. Archaeal SRP consists of a 7S RNA and homologues of the eukaryotic SRP19 and SRP54 proteins. The record is from RNAcentral. Lineage: Bacteria; Pseudomonadati; Spirochaetota; Spirochaetia; Spirochaetales; Spirochaetaceae.
GCUCAGGUCCUAUGCAAAGAUGGCUUUUCAAACCCUGUCAGGUCCGGAAGGAAGCAGCAGUAGAUUAGUUAUUCUUGUGCCGUAGUGUACCUGGGCUCU